Long non-coding RNA from Arabidopsis thaliana (thale cress), 365 nucleotides. RefSeq annotates it as other RNA. The record is from RefSeq. The transcript has a single exon. Lineage: Eukaryota; Viridiplantae; Streptophyta; Magnoliopsida; Brassicales; Brassicaceae.
GUCAGCAUUUCAAACAAAAUAUGUACAAGUCAAACAAAAAUCCUGAUUUUUCCCUGGAUUUGGACUGUCCUUUUACAUUUGGGGUGCAUAAAUAAUUAAUCAUACAAUAUUUAAUGUCAAAUCUUAAAGAACAAAAAGAAACAAAAACGAUGUACGAAUAUGCAUUGGGUGAUUGGCUGAUCCGUCUAACCAUAUCAACCGGCGUGCGGGGCACCUACACUGGAUGGUGAACCUUGGCCCGCAGGCGUUGUCACACUCCGUGGUGUUUGAAUCUUCUUUGUCUUGUGAAUAUGGAUCAUUUCUCUUAUUUCGUCUUCUACAAAAAAUAAAGUACGGAACAUGAGGUCCUUCCAUUGAGUUUAUAU